CAAGCUUGAAGCUACUUAAAAAGAGUAAAUCAUCAAUCAAAUUCAUUUAGUUAAGAUGAGCAAGUUCGUUGGUGUGUUCCUGCUGCUUUUGAUCACUGUGACCGUUGCUGAAUACGACCACAGUUAUCCUGAACAUGAAAACGAGAAAAAUGGUCCAUGCGGUAAGUUUAGCACACUUAGAAUUUUGACGCAUAAACUGCGUCACUGCGAAAAGGCUGCACGAAAUGCAUGGGCUCCUGUUUCUUCACAGUGCUGCAAUGACCUUGUAGAAGUAAGCAUCCCUUGCCUCUAUGCUGUUUUCUCCUCCGAUGCUUUCAAGAGAGUUGGUGUUGAUCCCAGAGUCGCAAUCACCAUUCCCCAUCGUUGCCAUUUCGCCAACAAGCCAUAGACCACAACUUUCCUACCUAUCAUAAAUUCCAACAUAUUUUUCAGCUUGUAGAUGGCUGGGAACGUUGGUUAUGGUUACGCAACCUGAGGUUUUUACAAUUCGUCAAAGCUUCAGGAUACAGUAGUGUGUGUUGUGUAUUGUAUGUUGUCAGUUAAUAAUUUGAGCUCCUUAACUAUAAAGGCUCAUAAAUAAGUUACAAUUAAUAUUGUAACAACUUUAUUAUUAUCUAUCAAAUAACUUCUAUGUCUUCCUGAAUAAUAUCCUUUUGGUUGUUUUAUGACAAUAAUUUAUAUAUAUAGAUGUUCGCGAUAUGGGUUCUUGGCCUAGCUGCAUAAAAUUAACUAUAUGUGAUCUUGUUCAUCAUUGACAGUUAA
Molecule: RNA transcript, 762 nt
Organism: Glycine soja
Lineage: Eukaryota; Viridiplantae; Streptophyta; Magnoliopsida; Fabales; Fabaceae
Exons: 2
Source: RefSeq, a predicted model, not a curated record